GGGUGCGUGGUGUAACGGUUUGAAAAUUGGACUAUGACUCUAGAGACCAAUGUUCAAAUCCUGGCUCAGUCA
Molecule: non-coding RNA, 72 nt
Organism: Phrynosoma platyrhinos (Desert horned lizard)
Lineage: Eukaryota; Metazoa; Chordata; Lepidosauria; Squamata; Phrynosomatidae
Source: the annotation of a GenBank genome assembly